RNAcentral lists this ribosomal RNA (809 nucleotides) under uncultured Alphaproteobacteria bacterium. Its description in RNAcentral is "bacterial SSU rRNA". It matches the Rfam family "Bacterial small subunit ribosomal RNA", at positions 38 to 886 of the family's 1533-position model. The record is from RNAcentral. Lineage: Bacteria; Pseudomonadati; Pseudomonadota; Alphaproteobacteria.
UGCUGCAUGCUUUAUACAUGCAAGUCGAACGAAGGCCCUAGCUUGCUAGGUGUCCUUAGUGGCGCACGGGUGAGUAACACGUGGGAACAUACCUUAUAGUACGGAAUAACUGCGGGAAACUGUAGCUAAUACCGUAUAUUCCAACAAUGGGAAAGAUUUAUCGCUAUAAGAUUGGCCCGCGCAAGAUUAGCUUGUUGGUGAGGUAAAAGCUCACCAAGGCUUCGAUCUUUAGCUGGUUUGAGAGGAUGAUCAGCCACACUGGGACUGAGACACGGCCCAGACUCCUACGGGAGGCAGCAGUAGGGAAUAUUGGACAAUGGGGGCAACCCUGAUCCAGCAAUGCAGCGUGAGUGACGAAGGCCUUAGGGUUGUAAAACUCUUUCAUCGGUGAGGAUAAUGACAGUAGCCGAAGAAGAAGGACCGGCUAAUUCCGUGCCAGCAGCCGCGGUAAUACGGAAGGUCCUAGCGUUGUUCGGAAUUACUGGGCGUAAAGCGCAUGUAGGCGGAACAGAAAGUUAGAAGUGAAAUCCCUGGGCUCAACCUAGGAAUUGCUUUUAAAACUUCUGUUCUGGAAUUCAGGAGAGGAAAAUGGAAUUUCCAGUGUAGAGGUGAAAUUCGUAGAUAUUGGAAGGAACACCAGUGGCGAAGGCGAUUUUCUGGACUGAUAUUGACGCUGAGAUGCGAAGGCAUGGGUAGCAAACGGGAUUAGAUACCCCGGUAGUCCAUGCAGUAAACGAUGGGUGCUAGUCGUCGGACUUUUGUUCGGUGUCGUAGCUAACGCGUUAAGCACCCCGCCUGGGGAGUACGGU